UUUCUAGAUAACACUAAUAGCAGUGAAGGUAAUUCAGAUUCAUCCAGAACCAUAAGCAAUCCUUUGACUCAAAAGAUGGAGACUGGUAGACCCAUUCAACGGUCUUUUCAGCCACCAUUAGCUAAGAAGCAAUUGAAGGAUGUUGUCACCAAGGAAGCUUGCAACAGAAACCUUUUAGGGCGACACAAAGCGGUGAACAACAAAUCCGAUUCAACCUCGUCGGCAGGGUCGAUAAUAGGUUGCAGCUCACUGAAGUCAAUUGAAAUUAAGAAUUGUAAUAAGCAGCACCAGAAUAGGAAUGAAGAGGAGGUGACAAAUAAAGUGUGGAAAGGUGUGGUGAGUUUGGGGGUGGAAGGAGAUGAUAUUGAUUCAAUUUACAAGAGGCGUAUUACUGUUAAUGAGAGAAAAGACAUUGAAGCUAAAAACAUGAGGGAGCACAAAAAGCAGGUGAAAUCAUGAAAAUCAUUUCUUUGAACAUGAGGGGGUGGGGAAACAGUGCAAAACGCAGGAGGUUGAAUCAUUCACUUCAAUCAGGUAAGUUUGAAUUGUGUAUGUUACAAGAAACAAAAAAACAUGAUUUUGAUGAUUAUAUGAUUUAUAAUCUAUGGGGACACAAGGAUGUGAGGUGGGUAGCUAAACAGUCGAUUGGGGCCUCAGGAGGAUUGUUAACUAUUUGGAAUUAUGAUCUUUUUGAUUUCAAUUAUAGUUUCACCGGUGAUGGGUAUUUGGGCAUUUGUGUGCAGUGCAAGACUUGUUGAAUUUUAAAACUCACAAUCAAGAGGGGGAGUGUGUUUGGGAGGUGAUUUCAAUGCAAUUAUGAAGAUAGGAGAGAGGAAGGGAAGUAGUUCAACGAGUAGACAGUCAGAUCGAUGGGAGUUCACACAGUUCGUGGAGGGGAUGGAUGUUGUGGAUGUGCCGGUAACAGGCAAAAAAUUUACCUGGUUCAGUUUUGAUGGGAAAGCAAUGAGCCGUCUUGAUAGCUUUUUGUUAUCAUAAGGUUUUAUAGUUAAAGGGAGAAUAUCAGGACAAUGGGUGGGCGAGCGUGAUGUGUCGGAUCAUUGUCCGAUUUGAUUGAUUUGUGCUGAAUUAAAUUGGGGUCCAAAACCAUUCAAGUUUAAUAAUUGUUGGAUGGAUCAUGACGAGUUCAAACCCUUUGUUGAAAAAGUGUGGAACAACUUGUCUAUUAAUGGCAAAAAGGCUUUUGUCAUUAAAGAAAAGUUGAAGCGGUUGAAAGAGGAGUUGAAAAUUUGGAAUAAGGAGGUUUUUGGUAUUUUAGAUUUGAACAUAGAGAAAACAGUUAAGGAGCUCAAUGAUGUGGAAGGGUUACUUGCAUCCGUUAUGACUGUGGCAAAUUGGAUUGAUAAGGGAGGGCUUCAAAAAGGAUUUUGGGACCAACUACAUCACAAAGAGAGUUUACUGAAGCAAAAAUCAAGAAUGAAAUGGGCGCUUGAUGGGGAUGCCAAUUCUCGGUAUUUCCAUGCUAGUCUUAAAGGUAGAAGGAGAAGGAAUCAGUUGGUCUCUAUUAAGAAGGAUGAGGUCUGGAUAUAGGGAGUUGAUAAUAUUAAAAAAAAGUGAAACAACAUUUCUCUUUGAAUUUUUUAGAGGAGUGGACAGAUAGGCCUUUUCUAUCGGGUAUUGACUUUAAUGUUUUGUCUCAAGAAGAUAAUUGGUAUCUGAUGGAACCUUUUACAGAGGAAGAAGUUAGGGAGGUUAUUUGGAGUUGUGAAGUGAAACGCACCGUUUCAUUUUUUCUAUAAAAAAAAAAAGGGACAAAAACCAAAUAUAACCACCGACCCCACCCACCAAUUCUCUCACAUUCUAGUUUCUUCUUUCACUUUCUCUACUUCCUCCCCUGUUUCACGGUUCUUCCAUUUCCCCAAUUUCUAUUCAUCUUCAUCUUUCAAACACAAAUGUCAGCCAUGCACUCAAAAGAAAACUAACAAACCUCUAUUAUAAGUUCCUCAUACUUCUACAAAUAGUAUUGAGUAUAAUUUUGGGAUUAGGGUUAGUGCUCUAAGAGAGGAGAUGAGUACCCACUCUUUGAAAGUUACUUAUCGGGACUUUUGAGGUAAAUAUAUCACUUAUAACUCAACAAUUUAUCUUUGGGUAUAUGCAGUUUGGUUUAGAAAUUAAUGUUAGAGAUUAGAGUAGAUAUUGGAGGAUUUUAUGGUUACAUAUGUUUAGUAAAACUCUAGAAUGACCUUUGAAAUCUUGAUAAACAUUUUCUUAUGUUCAGAUUCGACAGUUGAUGCUUUAUCUGCUACUCCGGGAGUCGUUAGAGAGAAAAACUAGCCGGUCUUCAUAGUUAUUCAAAGUCAGCUGAGUAGGGGUUUCUAGCAGAUAUUGAGAGUCGUCGGUAUCAUUCUUUUGGUAGGCUUCCUUGAUGAAAUGUUACUUUGUAUAUGUAUAUUUUGAGUUGAUCGAAUAUCUGCAGCUAUUUUGAGUCUAGGAAUCUUUUGUGUUGAAAUGUAUAAAUUUAAACAUGUAUAUUUUGAAACUUCUGACUUAAUGAUGUAUAUGCUGCAAACAGGAUUUAUUUUGA
Long non-coding RNA from Trifolium pratense (red clover), 2542 nucleotides. RefSeq lists it as uncharacterized. The record is from RefSeq and is a predicted model, not a curated record. The transcript is spliced from 2 exons. Lineage: Eukaryota; Viridiplantae; Streptophyta; Magnoliopsida; Fabales; Fabaceae.